CCCUUAGAUGUCCUGGGCCGCACGCGCGUUACACUGAUGCAUUCAACGAGCUUAUAACCUUGGCCGAGAGGCCUGGGCAAUCUUGUUAACGUGCAUCGUGAUAGGGAUAGAUUAUUGAAAUUAUUAAUCUUGAACGAGGAAUUCCUAGUAAACGCAGAUCAUCAAUCUGCAUCGAUUACGUCCCUGCCCUUUGUACACACCGCCCGUCGCACCUACCGAUUGGAUGGUCCGGUGAAGCCUCGGGAUUGUGGUUCUUGCCGCUUUAUUGUGGCGUGACCGCGAGAACUUGUCUAAACCUUAUCAUCUAGAGGAAGGUGAAGUCGUAACA
RNAcentral lists this ribosomal RNA (328 nucleotides) under uncultured eukaryote. RNAcentral's name for it is "partial 18S ribosomal RNA". It matches the Rfam family "Eukaryotic small subunit ribosomal RNA", at positions 1470 to 1796 of the family's 1831-position model. The record is from RNAcentral.